Molecule: transfer RNA, 73 nt
Filed under: Virgisporangium aliadipatigenens
Lineage: Bacteria; Bacillati; Actinomycetota; Actinomycetes; Micromonosporales; Micromonosporaceae
Description: tRNA-Val
Rfam family: tRNA
About the family: Transfer RNA (tRNA) molecules are approximately 80 nucleotides in length.
Source: RNAcentral
GCCCGUGUAGCUCAACGGCUGAGCAGCUGCCCUACAAGCAGCGUGAUGGGGGUUCGAAUCCCUCCGCGGGUAC